UCAAGGGAAGGGUGCCUCUGACCACUGGCAACCAAGUCCCUCACCCUUGUCCCACACCUGCUGACUUUCUAAACUUCUGUGCUCUGGACUGUGCUGGGUACACCUGACAUCACCUCGAUGACCAUGUCUUUCAGAGCCCCAUUAGCGGUGCCAUGGUCCGAGAAGCAGAAGGAGCCACCACAGAGCCAGGCUCAAGGACUCUGGGACUAACAGGUCUUCGGGAAGAUGCCUGGCCAGGAGCUAGGGGGCCACCAGCUGACAAGAGCUGCCACCAGACAGGUAGAAGGUGUCAGAUGUCAAUGGCCAUGCUGGCCUAAGCUACCUCUGUGAACAGUGUAGCCCAGAAGAGCCAGCACAGAUGCCUCCCACCUGUCAGCCCUGUCGUCCCCCAUCUUGUCACACGUCCCAGCAAUGGGGUCUCGCUAUGUUGCCCGGGCUGGUCUCAAACACCUGCACUCCUGCUAUAUCCUCCAGCCUCAGCCUCCCAAUGUGCUGGGAUUACAGACGUGAGCCACCACUCUCAGCCCAAUGUAUAAUUCUCAGUAUGAUGAAAGAUGAUGGAAUCUUGGCCAAGGUGGCAGAGCUGGGUUUAAGGCCAUGGGAAUAUUACAGCUGAAAGCAAAGGUGAAUUCAGCGGAUGCAUGAACAGGCAAAAGGGAAAAUGAGCCAUGCCUGGAGCUACAGAGCUGAUUGAGUAACACAGCCUGGAGAAGGAUGAGUCAAAGGCAAGACACCCAGACAGGAUAUAUCUGAGAAUUGUGUGACCGGGUGAUUUUGUGGUUGUGCAAACAUGAUAGAGUGACUUACACAAACCGAGAUGACCGAGCCUACUCCACACACAGGCUGUACGGUGUGGCCUAUCACAGUGGUAACACAACGGUAAGUAUUUCUACCUCUGAACAUUUCCAGACAUAGAAAAGCUACAAUAGAGGCCAGGCGCGGUGGCUCACGCCUGUAAUCCCAGCACUUUGGAGGCUGAGGCGGGUGGAUCACAAGGUCAAGAGAUCGAGACCAUCCUGGUCAACAUGGUGAAACCCCGUCUCUACUCAAAAUACAAAAAAUUAGCUGGGCAUGGUGGUGCACGCCUGUAGUCCCAGCUACUCGGGAGGCUGAGGCAGGGGAAUUGCCUGAUCCGAGGAGGGGGAGGUUGCGGUGAGCCGAGAUCGCGCCAUUGCUCUCCAGCCUGGGUAACAAGAGCGAAACUCCGUCUCAAAAAAAAAGGUACAGUAGAAACAUGGCACUGUAACUUGGCCCACCUUCGUGUAUGCGGGCUGUUGCUGAUGGAAACGUCUCUGUGCAGCACAGGACUGCAGCUUGUUCCCACAAGAAGCCCAGUAGAGAGUGAGAGGGGUGCAGAAAAGGCAAAAAGGAAAGAGAAAGAGAAACGAGAGGGAAAAUAUAAGCCAAGGGGGAAAGUAGAAACCAAAGGUUGCCUUUAGGCUAAGCAAGGGGUCGGGUAAAGCCAGCAAGCUGGCCUGGGGGGACAGAGGAGGAAGGAAGGAAGGCCCCCUAUACCGGAGGUGCCCCGCCACCCUCCCACACCCUGGGCCUCUGAGGCUCUGGGUGUUCCUUCUCCCCGGGCUGUGCUCCUCCUCCGCUUUCCUCCUCCUCCCCUGUCCAGGUGGAGUUUUUCAAUGCACAGUCAAUUCCCAAUUAUGGGCUGGAGCCUCCUGGGAAAUCCACUCUUGUUCCUCAAACCCUCCGGGGCCAGAUCUGGGCUCCACAGGUAUCCCUGUGAUGAGGGUGCCUCCUGUGUGCCCCGCCUCUUCCAGCCCUUCCUGAUGGGCGUCUGGGAGCCCUGGCUUACCGUGAGAGGUGCAUGCAGAAACUCCUGCUGUCACUGGGGCUGCCUCCUGUCACCUGGUGAGGAUUCUGUCCACUUUUGCUCUGUUUUGAGGCAUCUGUAUGAUUUGGGGUGCAUUUAGGUUCAGAAUUAUUACAUCUUCCACAUGAAUCACACUUCAGGACAUUAAAUGGUGGCUUCUUUAGUACAUCAGGAAAUAUUUUCUGACGCCUACCGUGGGGCCAGCCUGUUCUAAACGUCGGGGUCAGUGCCAGGUUCCACCUGGUGUGAAAGGUGCGGGCGCCUCCUGCUCUGGUCGCACCUGGGGAGUCCGCUGACCAGGCAGUCUGCUGGCUUGAGUUGAGUCCUCCAGGUGAGCAGCUGUGCGCAAACAGACGUUUUACCUCCUCUUUUGUAAGGUUUAUAUCACAUCUUUCAUUUUUUGGCCUUACUGCAUUUUCUAAAACGGUUCAGAAACAGCAUUUUAUUUUAGUUCCUGAGACAUGUUUUCAUCAAUUUAUUUACAUACAAUCUUUCAUGGUCAUUUCUCUUUAGAGGUAUCUUUUAUAAACAUUGUAUUACUGGACCUUGGUUUCUUAACAAAUAUGAAAUUACCGGUCUUUCUGUAGGGAAAUUUAAUCCACUCGCAUUUCUGUGGUCACUAAUAUUUUAUUUUAAUCCAUUCACAACUCAUUUAUUUUCUUUUCUUGUAAUUAUGAUUUAUAUCAUUUUUUUUUCCUUUACUAGUGCUUGGAGAAUCAAUUUUCUCUUCCUCUUCUAGUAAUUGGAAGUUCUCCAUUUUGCUUCUUUCUAUUAGUUAAACUCUUAUGUAUUUAGAAAUGUUACUUCUAAGGAUCUUAAAAUGGGGAGAUUAUCUGGAACUAUCUAGGUGGGUCCAGUACAAACACCAGAGUUCUUGUAGGGGAAAGAGGGAGGUCACAGGUCCUAGAGAAUGGGACAGAAGGAAGAGAAGACAGGGAGGCUGAGACAUUGGGAUGCUGCAUUGCUGGCUCUGAGGAUGGAAGAAGGCAGUCCUGCCCUGGGCCGUGGGCUGGAGACAGCAGGCUUCUGCUGGAACCAGGAACAGCAGGACUGUGAACAGAAUACAGCCACCAUCCUCAGCAGCGUUGCCAGCACACAUCCACUCUGACCUACUAGGCAAAGCUUAGGAGAAGGAACAAAACACAUAGUGGGUGGUGGGUGUGGGGGAAGCUUCGCAACCUGCAUCACAGGAUGAACAUAGGAAGUGAGUCCUGCUGAAACCGGUGCAUGUCGGAAGCGUGGUGGGCUCCUGGUGUGAGCAAGGGCCUCGGCUCCCUCCCUCCCUCCCUCCCCAGGUUGCAUACAUCAGCGGAGCCUCCACUUCUGCACGUGAGUGGUUGGCUUCUCUCUCACUUUGAUACAUGCUGUGGAAAAACAGUUCAAGGCAAGACCACCAGCUUCUCGCGGGGUUGCUGUGGGAGAGCACCUUCUCUGUAGAACUUCUGGGGCCACCUCGGGCUGGUGGGCCAGGAUGGACUGAUUGAUUUCUCUGUCUGUCUCCAGACCUCUGUCCCUUCCCUCUGACCUCCCCCAGAUUUCUCCAGAAACCACCUAAAGCGCUUCUCCAUCUAUGGGAUUCAGGGUCUCCUGAACGGCAGGUCUCCCAAGAGGCUGCCGAGUCCACACCUUGAGAGUUCCCUUUCAGAGCAAACGAGCCUGGGAGAGAAAACAGUUCACCACCCCUUCUUUCACAGACCCAUCAUUUACUGGCCACUUCCCAAGGCAGACGUGAAGCUGCAAGCACAGCCCCAGCUGGGGACAGUGCCCGGCACAGCCAGGCUCCCUGUGAGCAUGGGCACUGGCCUGCAGUCAGCACCUCUGGGCUGCAGCUCGCGUUUGGGAGAGUUGUCUAACCUUCCUGGCACUCAGCCGUCUCUCUGGGACAGAUGGGAUGGUCUGAUUCAGUGAUCCUCCUUCUGGAAGGGUCCUCACAUCUUGCUUCGGGGAUUGCUGAACUAGGGAAGACCCUGUGGGGAUUUCUCUCUUCAUCACAUCUCCCUUCGUCAGAGGCAAAUGUGGGGGACUUUGAGCAGUUCUCGGCCUGCAGCCUGGCCCUGGGUCUUGUCUUAGAGUUGAAGUUCGCUGUAACAUUUAGCAAGUUAAAUCUGACCUUGCCACAGAGCAGGCAUGCCGACCGCCUGCACAGCGCACCCGCGGGGACGAGCCCGCUGUGUGAAAGCCCCAGAGGCGCGUCACUGCAGUGUCUCUGGUGUCGAGAUCGCUGGGACAGGGGGUGGGGGCCCUGGGGAGGAAAAGGAACCGCAUCUUCACCCUCCCACGGCUGUCUCCCUCAGAGAGGCCCCCGGACUCACACCCCUCCUCACAUCCAGGAAAGCACAGGAGCCGCAGAUGCCCCCUGUGUUUAGGUAAAACCAGAGGCUCCUGAACUCCCUCCCUCCCUCCCGCUACCCCAAAGUGAGAACUUUCUGUUCUUUGACAAGGGAGUUGGAGUCUCUCUUUGUCCCUGGCCUGCUUUGAAGUUGCAACAAUCAAACUGCGUCAGCUCAGGAACAAAAGGAACCUGAGAAGUGACAUUUCUCCUCUGGUAAAAGGAAGUCUGCCGCCGGCCGGUGGGAGGAGGCAGCAGAGGCGAGGAUGGGCACCGUGCCACUCUUCCAUCAGUGCCAGGCCCCUGGCUUGACCCCAUCAGUGAUUCACAAAAGUGUCCAAAUACAUCCAUGACCCAGAUGGAGAAAGACCACUGCCCUCCCAUUCAAGGGCACUGAAGCGGCUCCACCUGCCCACGCUGCUCAUUGCCCAGAUGGGAGCAGCCCUGUCUGAAGUGGGAGGCAGAAUUUCCUUCCAAGCUGCUGGUGAGCCGCGGAGGGCUGAGCUGCAGAGCGAAGGCCUUAGAGCCAGAACAUGGCAGAGCUGGAACAGGAGUUGCCUUCUGAGCUGGCCUCUGGCUGCACCCCUGCUCUUUUCCAGGCCAGCCACCUGGAAUUCAGAUGCAGGGUCCCUGAGAUUACUGCAGAGCCAGCCUCUGCUCUGACCUCACUUCCCACUGGCCAGUCUAGCUCCCAUGGCCCAGUCAAGAUGUUGAAAUUCAUUUUCCUUGUGCUAAAACACGGCUAAGAAAGGAAGUGAUUAGCUAGGACUGACCACCAGGGAGCCAAGCACUGCCAGCCAGAAGAGAUGGGGAGAAUACUGACAGGAGAGGUCUCCCUGCACUCCCCAGCCUCUCCGCCUCCCCCUACCCAAGCCUGGCCCCACAGCUACAGGCAGUUACCCAGACCACAAGGCUCCUUUGAUGAUGCCCCAUUUCCCUGGUCAUUCCCUGUCCUCUGUUCCACGCAGCUUCCUUAGACGCUGGUCCUCCCACAGCUCAGGCUGAGCCUGCCAGGCUGCAACCAAGGAGGAGGGAGGUGCCAGUCACUGGGGAGCAGCCCUGGCUCAGGUGGGACAAUGGUGUGUGUGUGUGUGUGUGUGUGUGAGAGAGAGAGAGAGAGAGAGAGAAAGAGAGAGAGAGAGAGAGAGGCAGAGACACACAGAGAGAGAGGAGUUUCUGAAAAUGGGGUACUGACCCCAGCACAGGGAUGCUUCCUGCAUGACUGGAGUCAUGGUGUAGGAGCAGAGGAGGGCAGAAGGCUUCAUGUGGAGAGCAUCUAGCAGCUCUAGGCAGGGUGGGAGCACAAAGGCACUGUCAGCCAUCACCACCACCAGGAAGGCUGCCAGGUCUGCAGAGAGGACUGUCUAGACACUGAAUUUGACUCUGUUCUUCUGGAGGCCCCACACCAGUCCCCUCAUGGGGAAGGACAGAUGCUUAGGUGGGCCUGAAGAUGGGCUCCCAUCCACCCUGUGGGGGGUGGAUGGCGCUGAGUGGACCCAGCCCCAGCGCGCCCAGCCCUGUGGCAGGUGGAUGGCGCUGAGUGGACCCAGCCCCAGCGCGCCCAGCCCUGUGGCAGGUGGAUGGCGCUGAGUGGACCCAGCCCCAGCGCGCCCAGCCCUGUGGCAGGUGGAUGGCGCUGAGUGGACCCAGCCCCAGUGCGCCCAGCCCUGUGGCAGGUGGAUGACGCUGAGUGGACCCAGCCCCAGCGCGCCCAGCCCUGUGGCAGGUGGAUGGUGCUGAGUGGACCCAGCCCCAGUGUGCCCAGCCGAGGCUUGUAAACUCAGCAGUUUAUCUUUGUUACUUCUCUUUGAUCUAUUAAAAAAAAAAAAACCAGCUAAUUUUGGGAGUAAGAAAAAUGCACCAAGUAAUGGCAUAGUGUGGAUUAUGCUUCAAGUCUAGUUUAUGGCCCUUUGGUGAUGAGGAAAAAAGGGAAUUAUCUGGCUGUGGUUUAUACAGUGGGCACUGACUGAGCUGGAGGAUGCUGGAGGGGGACAAGGUCAUUAUUUUUGACGCUUCCACCCUUAGCUGCCCAUCUCAUCCCGGGUCCUGCCAGGAAAUUGGAGACAAAUUCCACAGGGUAUCUGAGGAGAGGUAACAGAGGGAUAUUUGCCAAGGAAAACCAACAAGGGAGGGUAAAGGACCCACAGUUAGUGAAAGGGGCACGUGCACCAUCUCUAGACCCCACGGGUGAAGGACGCAGUGGUGGCCAAGCCCAGUGUGUUAGUUUCCCACGGCUGCUGAACAAAUACCACCACCUUGGCAGCUGACAGCAUGA
Molecule: long non-coding RNA, 6429 nt
Organism: Callithrix jacchus (white-tufted-ear marmoset)
Lineage: Eukaryota; Metazoa; Chordata; Mammalia; Primates; Cebidae
Source: RefSeq, a predicted model, not a curated record